GCUGACUAGCUAGCCAACACAUUUGGUCUAACACCACAACAUAAAUAACCCCACAAA
This 57-nucleotide ribosomal RNA is filed under the name Salvelinus fontinalis (brook trout). RNAcentral's name for it is "partial 16S ribosomal RNA". Lineage: Eukaryota; Metazoa; Chordata; Actinopteri; Salmoniformes; Salmonidae. The record is from RNAcentral.